UUAAAAGUUCGGGGNUUAACCCCGUGAUGGGAUGGAAACUGCCAAUCUAGAGUAUCGGAGAGGAAAGUGGAAUUCCUAGUGUAGCGGUGAAAUGCGUAGAUAUUAGGAAGAACACCAGUGGCGAAGGCGACUUUCUGGACGAAAACUGACGCUGAGGCGCGAAAGCCAGGGGAGCGAACGGGAUUAAAUACCCCGGUAGUCCUGGCCGUAAGCGAUGGGUACUAGGUGUAGGAGGUAUCGACCCCUUCUGUGCCGGAGUUAACGCAAUAAGUACCCCGCCUGGGGAGUACGACCGCAAGGUUGAAACUCAAAGGAAUUGACGGGGGCCCGCACAAGCGGUGGAGUAUGUGGUUUAAUUCGACGCAACGCGAAGAACCUUACCAGGUCUUGACAUUGAUGGACAGAACCAGAGAUGGUUCCUCUUCUUCGGAAGCCAGAAAACAGGUGGUGCACGGUUGUCGUCAGCUCGUGUCGUGAGAUGUUGGGUUAAGUCCCGCAACGAGCGCAACCCCUAUCUUAUGUUGCCAGCACUUUGGGUGGGGACUCAUGAGAGACUGCCGCAGACAAUGCGGAGGAAGGCGGGGAUGACGUCAAAUCAUCAUGCCCCUUAUGACCUGGGCUACACACGUACUACAAUGGGAGUUAAUAGACGGAAGCGAGAUCGCGAGAUGGAGCAAACCCGAGAAACACUCUCUCAGUUCGGAUCGUAGGCUGCAACUCGCCUACGUGAAGUCGGAAUCGCUAGUAAUCGCAGGUCAGCAUACUGCGGUGAAUACGUUCCCGGGCCUUGUACACACCGCCCGUCACACCACGAAAGUCGGAAGUGCCCAAAGCCGGUGGGGUAACCUUCGGGAGCCAG
This 859-nucleotide ribosomal RNA is filed under the name uncultured bacterium. Its description in RNAcentral is "bacterial SSU rRNA". It matches the Rfam family "Bacterial small subunit ribosomal RNA", at positions 594 to 1452 of the family's 1533-position model. The record is from RNAcentral.